CGCGGUUGUAGCAAUACAACUGGCGCACGGCGCACGGGUGCGUAACACGUGGGUAACCUGCCCUUUGGUGGGGAAUAACUCCGCGAAAGCGGAGCUAAUUCCGCAUAAGAUCCGCAAGGAUGAAAGCCGCAAGGCGCCGAAGGAGGGGCCCGCGCCCGAUUAGCUAGUUGGUGAGGUAAUGGCUCACCAAGGCUUUGAUCGGUAGCUGGUCUGAGAGGAUGAUCAGCCACACUGGAACUGAGACACGGUCCAGACUCCUACGGGAGGCAGCAGUGGGGAAUCUUGCACAAUGGGCGAAAGCCUGAUGCAGCGACGCCGCGUGGGGGAUGAAGCAUUUCGGUGUGUAAACCCCUUUCGAUCCGGACGAAACCCCGCAAGGGAUUGACGGUACGGAUAUAAGAAGCCCCGGCUAACUACGUGCCAGCAGCCGCGGUAAGACGUAGGGGGCCAGCGUUGUUCGGAAUUACUGGGUGUAAAGGGUUCGUAGGCGGUGCGGCAAGUUGGGAGUGAAAUCUCUGGGCUUAACCCAGAGGCUGCUUCCGAAACUGCUGUGCUUGAGUGUGGGAGAGGCGCGUGGAAUUGCAGGUGUAGCGGUGAAAUGCGUAGAUAUCUGCAGGAACACCCGUGGCGAAAGCGGCGCGCUGGACCACUACUGACGCUGAGGAACGAAAGCUAGGGGAGCAAACAGGAUUAGAUACCCUGGUAGUCCUAGCCCUAAACGAUCAGGACUUGGGGUGCCACCCGUUCGGGUGUCGUCCCGGAGCUAACGCGUUAAGUCCUGCACCUGGGGAGUACGGUCGCAAGACUGAAACUCAAAGGAAUUGAC
RNAcentral lists this ribosomal RNA (826 nucleotides) under uncultured Bacillota bacterium. Its description in RNAcentral is "bacterial SSU rRNA". It matches the Rfam family "Bacterial small subunit ribosomal RNA", at positions 70 to 914 of the family's 1533-position model. The record is from RNAcentral. Lineage: Bacteria; Bacillati; Bacillota.